UACGGGGGGGGCAAGCGUUGUUCGGAAUUACUGGGCGUAAAGGGCUCGUAGGCGGCCAACUAAGUCGGAUGUGAAAUCCCCAGGCUCAACUUGGGAACUGCAUCCGAUACUGGAUGGCUUGAAUUCGGGAGAGGGAUGCAGAAUUCCAGGUGUAGCGGUGAAAUGCGUAGAUAUCUGGAGGAAUACCCGUGGCGAAGGCGGCUCUCUGGGACGUGACUGACGCUGAGACGCGAAAGCGUGGGGAGCGAACAGG
This 253-nucleotide ribosomal RNA is filed under the name uncultured bacterium. RNAcentral's name for it is "partial 16S ribosomal RNA". It matches the Rfam family "Bacterial small subunit ribosomal RNA", at positions 524 to 776 of the family's 1533-position model. The record is from RNAcentral.